This 582-nucleotide ribosomal RNA is filed under the name uncultured Bacteroidota bacterium. Its description in RNAcentral is "bacterial SSU rRNA". It matches the Rfam family "Bacterial small subunit ribosomal RNA", at positions 336 to 918 of the family's 1533-position model. The record is from RNAcentral. Lineage: Bacteria; Pseudomonadati; Bacteroidota.
UUCCUACGGGAGGCAGCAGUGAGGAAUAUUGGUCAAUGGGCGCAAGCCUGAACCAGCCAUCCCGCGUGCAGGAUGACGGCCCUAUGGGUUGUAAACUGCUUUUCUACGCCAAGAAAUUGCCAUACGUGUAUGGUUUUGACGGUAGCGUAGGAAUAAGCAUCGGCUAACUCCGUGCCAGCAGCCGCGGUAAUACGGAGGAUGCAAGCGUUAUCCGGAUUCAUUGGGUUUAAAGGGUGCGCAGGUGGGGAUGUAAGUCAGUGGUGAAAUACUGCCGCUUAACGGUAGAACUGCCAUUGAUACUGCAUCUCUUGAGUAUGGUUGAGGUAGGCGGAAUGUGUUGUGUAGCGGUGAAAUGCAUAGAUAUGACACAGAACGCCAAUUGCGAAGGCAGCUUACUAAGCCAUUACUGACGCUGAGGCACGAAAGCGUGGGGAGCGAACAGGAUUAGAUACCCUGGUAGUCCACGCCGUAAACGAUGAUCACUCGCUGUUUGCGAUACACAGUAAGCGGCUGAGCGAAAGCAUUAAGUGAUCCACCUGGGGAGUACGAUCGCAAGGUUGAAACUCAAAUGAAUUGACGGAA